UUGAAAAAUAACGCUAUUCAAAACGUUACGCGUUACGUUACGGGCAGAAACGUGAGCCACCACAUCCGCAUGUACUCUGACGAAAUAACACCGGCGAAAAUGUGCUCUUAUCACCAUUUCAUUACUUCGAAGGAAAAUUUGACUGACUUAUAAGUUGUUCCAAGUAAAAUUGCGAUCUUUUUGAAUAAUUGAAGCUGUUUUAAGGUUCAUCCACGUAUUAAAUUACUGUUCAUCGAUUUCUACAGUGCCAGCUGUAUUGAAACGAAAAAAUGGAAGCCCAACCGAAUAUUGUCCACCACGAGCACACUAUAUCGACGCAACGUAUUCGUCAGACGUGUCGUAUUAGAAAAAUCAACGGCGAAAUCUUCAGAAAAUGUUACGUUAGAAAUAACAACGGUAAUGAAACGCCGAAAUGGAUUCAGUUGUCCUACCUGGAGUGGUGGGAUAAUCUCACGGAAAAUACCAACCACUAUCAGGAGUAAUUAAUUAAUACGAUAACGACGGCGCAGAAAUUCCAGCGAAUCGACGUAUUUGCGGGUGAAUCAGCGCACCAGAUUGCGACAAU
Molecule: long non-coding RNA, 565 nt
Organism: Planococcus citri (citrus mealybug)
Lineage: Eukaryota; Metazoa; Arthropoda; Insecta; Hemiptera; Pseudococcidae
Exons: 3
Source: RefSeq, a predicted model, not a curated record